CUUGCGGGGGUGAUUAGUGGCGAACGGGUGAGUAAUACGUGAGUAACCUGCCCUUGACUCUGGGAUAAGCCUGGGAAACCGGGUCUAAUACUGGAUACUACUCCUCAUCGCAUGGUGGGGGGUGGAAAGGGUUUUACUGGUUUUGGAUGGGCUCACGGCCUAUCAGCUUGUUGGUGGGGUAAUGGCUCACCAAGGCGACGACGGGUAGCCGGCCUGAGAGGGUGACCGGCCACACUGGGACUGAGACACGGCCCAGACUCCUACGGGAGGCAGCAGUGGGGAAUAUUGCACAAUGGGCGGAAGCCUGAUGCAGCGACGCCGCGUGAGGGAUGACGGCCUUCGGGUUGUAAACCUCUUUCAGCAUGGAAGAAGCCACAAGUGACGGUACCUG
Molecule: ribosomal RNA, 391 nt
Filed under: Kocuria sp.
Lineage: Bacteria; Bacillati; Actinomycetota; Actinomycetes; Micrococcales; Micrococcaceae
Description: bacterial SSU rRNA
Rfam family: Bacterial small subunit ribosomal RNA
Source: RNAcentral